This is an RNA transcript of Ricinus communis (castor bean), 3541 nucleotides long. It is a transcript of the gene named protein NEDD1, with no coding region annotated. The record is from RefSeq and is a predicted model, not a curated record. The transcript is spliced from 11 exons. NCBI's taxonomy places the organism in Eukaryota, Viridiplantae, Streptophyta, Magnoliopsida, Malpighiales, Euphorbiaceae.
AGGAAAGGCGCUCACUUUAUAGUAACCCCCUCUCUCUCCACUCCCAUUCAAAUUUAAUUUCUUUCAACAGACACCAUCCUCCAAUUUCUCAUUUAUCCUUGUGGGGUUCUAUUACUGUUUUUUCUAACAGAGAUUCAAUAUUUUUCUAAAUUCUCUUUGUCAUUGUAAUACUCAAGUGAAAGAAAGGCUUCAAUCUUGCUAUAAUCGCAUUCAAUUGCUCAAUUUUAGAGGUUUCAGAUUGUAAAGGAUGAUUUUACCGGAUCCAUCAAUGGGGUUACUGGCCGCUAGUGGCGGUGAUACAGUGAAGCUAUUUGAUGUAUCAGAGGAGGAAGGAGAUCGUUGCAUCAUGAGUUACGCUCCAUCUCCGGGUUGCCUGGUUAACUCAGUCAAGUGGAAUCACACUAAUUUGGUUGUGGCUAGUGCUGGAGAAGAUAAGAAGAUAUCUCUAUGGAGGAAAAAGGGGCAGAGUAUGGGGACUAUUCCAGUUGCUGGGACAGAUAGUGGAGAUAACAUUGAUGAAUCUAUCUUGGCUAUUAGCUUUAGUCACAAGGGAUCGAGAUACUUAUGCUCAGGAGGAAGUGGUCAAGCUGUAAGAAUAUGGGAUCUACAGAGAAACCGCUGUAUUAAAUGGUUGAGGGGUCAUACCAGUACAAUAACCGGUGCUUUAUACAAUUGCAAAGAUGAGCAUUUGGCUUCUAUAAGUCUAAAUGGGGAUCUUAUUCUUCACAACCUUGCAUCUGGUGCAAGGGCAGCAGAACUCAAGGACCCUAAUGAACAGGUAUUACGUGUGCUUGACUAUUCAAGGAUUAGCAGGCACCUUUUGGUGACUGCAGGUGAUGAUGGAUCUGUACAUUUGUGGGAUACAACUGGUCGCAACCCGAAGGUUUCUUGGUUGAAGCAACAUUCUGCCCCUACAGCUGGCAUCAGCUUCUCACCAUCAAAUGACAAGAUAAUAGCUAGUGUUGGACUGGAUAAAAAGUUGUACACUUUUGACGCGGGGUCUAGAAGACCCUCAUCUUGCAUAUCUUAUGAGGCACCUUUCUCUUCAUUGGCAUUCAGAGAUGAUGGCUUGAUUCUAGCAGCUGGAACUAGCAGUGGCCGGGUGGUAUUCUAUGAUGUUCGUGGGAAACCACAGCCUUUCAAUGUUCUUCGUGCUUUUAGCAGUUCUGAGGCUGUCACAAGUUUAUGCUGGCAAAGAUCAAAACCAGUUGUGGUAAAUGAGAGCAAUUGCACUGCUGAGACAGCCCUUCUGGGAGGUGCUAUUGAAGAUUCAAUUCUUAUGCCUGACCCACUUCCCUCUGUGACAUUAUCAAGUGUUUCACUAUCCACUGUGGUGUCAAGUUCUCGUAAUACUGGUCGUUCCAGUCUUUCUAUAGAAUCGUCAUCUCUUACAUCAACCAGCAGUGGAUCUGCAUCAAGCAUUGCCAGUCUAUCUUUAGCAGAAGAAACCCCACACCGGAACCAUCUAUGGCUAGGUGGAACAUUGUCACGAUUAAAUGCUCCACGUUCUAGUUAUAAUUUUAAGGAUGACAUGGACGUGUUUUCGCCGGUUGUUGAUGUCCAGCCUAUCACACCCUCACUUGAUAAGCUGUGGGGUGAUAAUGAGGGAGCAAAAAAAGAUAAUCUAUCGGUUGAUAAGAAGCCCUCUUCCUUGUUUUCAUCAUCCAGCAGGAGAUUUCCUUUUUCUGAGGACGGGGCAAAUGAUCAUCCUAUAUUCGACUGGAAAACCAGUUCAACUUCCAGACAGGAUGAGACCCGAUCUUCUUUAUCAUUGUUGGGGGGAUCUACUCCUUCUCCAUCUUCAAACAGUGAAGAAUCCUCCAUCACUCCUCCAGAGGCUUGGGGCGGUGAGAGAAUAUCAGAUAAACUUGCCCACCAACGCCAGCCACUUUCUCGUUUUGGAAUGCUGGCUUCUGGGGGUUUGACAUCAGGGUCAUUGUUUUCUGGUUUGCAAGAUUUGUCCUCUUCGACGAGUCAGACAAUUAUGAGCUCAUUGGCGAGUUCGUACUUCAGCUUUCCAAAUAUACGCACCAAAGAUAUUUCUAUAAAUCAGGAGACUUUAACAGGACUUCCAGAAAAUAAUACUAGUUCCAUAUCUCAAUCUUUGGGUACAAAAAGCAACAUAGGACCAGCUGAUGCUGACCUGCCAGGACCAGGGAUUUUUACACUCCCUCGGAAGCUCUCUUCUUACGCUGAGAGGACAAGCACUGUUUCUUCCUUUGGUGAUGGGACAUCCCCAGCGGUAAACUCACCAAAAAUGAAGAAAACAGGAGCUGAAACCAGGGAAGAGCUUUUGAGUAGCUUGCUGUCGAGGUCUGACACAUUGGCUGGGACUGAGUCUGGAAAUCUACCAAUAAUGAAUGGAGGAAUGUCACAAGCAAAUAAAGCCCUUCAGCUGGAUCCACAACAGGGAAGUUCCUUCACGCUUCAGCUUUUCCAACGUACUCUCCAAGAAACUCUUGAUUCGUUUCAGAAAUCCAUCCAUGAAGAUAUGAGGAACCUUCAUAUUGAAAUUCUGAGGCAAUUCCACAUGCAGGAGAUGGAAUUUUCUAGUGCGAUGAGCUCAGUUCUGGAAAAUCAAGCUGAACUAAUGAAAGAAAUUAAGUCUCUUCGGAGAGAAAACCACGAGCUUCGCCAAUUGCUUUGAGAUAUAGUGAAAGCUGUAUUAUUUUUUGUGAUUGGUGAUGAGUUCUGGAAUCUGCUCGAUCGAAUAGUUCUGCACUUCAUUUGUGGCCUUCUGUUCUGUAGUAAAUACAGUUGCUUGCUGAAAGUUUGGAGAAAGGAUAAACAUUGAAGACGAGGACCACAAAUUCAAUGCAUCAUUAGAAUGUAGGGAUUCAGUUACAUGGAGCAAAUAAAACAUAAUGGACAAAGAAUCUCGUUAAAGAAAAAAAAGAACAUUAUCUUUCAAUCACGCCGGUGUACAAUCACUAUUCUGCAAAAAAGAAAAAAUGCUCACCUUCGAGUUUGCAGACUCUUCAACUUUCUCAAGGGUAGAACAUGAUGGAGGGUAUGUGGCGCACCUUGUCAAAGUCCUCUCCUUCUUCGUUGUUUAUGACUCGAAUCCUCUUCUCAAAUGCUUCUGGCAUUCAACGAACAUUGAACUCUUGGAGGGUACCCACAAACUUCAAUCCUUCUGGAAUUUUUCUCAAUUCUCUUAGAUUAUCUAUGUAGGCAUGGCAUUGCACCUUCUUCUACCAUCCAUUCUUCUAGUUUAUCUAACCAUUCAAGUUUAACAACUUCAAUUUGAGGAAAACUGUAAGCAGAACAUGCCAUUACAGAUCCUUUGUAUGAAUCUCCCUCUAGGGACAGAAACCUCAGAUUAAGGCGCUUCUCUAGAAUAGGCACUGGGUCUUGCCUCAAUGAGAACGACACAAAGUUAACUUAGUAAGUCUUGGAGGUAGAUAAACUUAGUAAGGCUUGGAGGUAGAUACUCAAGGUUGUGAUGCAAAGAUCGUACAUCUUCAGCUAUCUUUCCCUCACUUUUGCCAGUUGAUGACAAUGACAAAGGAUAAAGAAAAGGUGGGGCUAGUUCUUUUCA